RNAcentral lists this ribosomal RNA (253 nucleotides) under uncultured bacterium. RNAcentral's name for it is "partial 16S ribosomal RNA". It matches the Rfam family "Bacterial small subunit ribosomal RNA", at positions 524 to 776 of the family's 1533-position model. The record is from RNAcentral.
UACAUGUGGGGCAAGCGUUGUUCGGAAUCACUGGGCAUAAAGGGUGCGUAGGUGGUAUGACAAGUCAGCGGUGAAAGCUCGUGGCCCAACCACGGAACUGCCGUUGAUACUGUCGUACUUGAGUGCGUGAGGGGUGACUGGAACGCGUGGUGUAGCGGUGAAAUGCGUAGAUAUCACGCGGAAGGCCAACGGCGAAGGCAGGUCACUGGCACGCAACUGACACUGAGGCACGAAAGCGUGGGGAGCAAACAGG